UGUCGUCAGCUCGUGUUGUGAAAUGUUGGGUUAAGUCCCGCAACGAGCGCAACCCUUAUCCUUUGUUGCCAGCGGUCCGGCCGGGAACUCAAAGGAGACUGCCAGUGAUAAACUGGAGGAAGGUGGGGAUGACGUCAAGUCAUCAUGGCCCUUACGACCAGGGCUACACACGUGCUACAAUGGCGCAUACAAAGAGAAGCGACCUCGCGAGAGCAAGCGGACCUCAUAAAGUGCGUCGUAGUCCGGAUUGGAGUCUGCAACUCGACUCCAUGAAGUCGGAAUCGCUAGUAAUCGUGGAUCAGAAUGCCACGGUGAAUACGUUCCCGGGCCUUGUACACACCGCCCGUCACACCAUGGGAGUGGGUUGCAAAAGAAGUAGGUAGCUUAACCUUCGGGAGGGCGCUUACCACUUUGUGAUUCAUGACUGGGGUGAAGUCGUAACAAGGUAACCGUAGGGGAACCUGC
RNAcentral lists this ribosomal RNA (465 nucleotides) under Escherichia coli. RNAcentral describes it as "bacterial SSU rRNA". It matches the Rfam family "Bacterial small subunit ribosomal RNA", at positions 1050 to 1515 of the family's 1533-position model. RNAcentral also lists the same sequence under 72 other names. The record is from RNAcentral. Lineage: Bacteria; Pseudomonadati; Pseudomonadota; Gammaproteobacteria; Enterobacterales; Enterobacteriaceae.